AGCCAUGCUCAGUACGGCGAGUGAGCGGCAAAAGCUCAAAUUUGAAAUCUGGCACCUUCGGUGUCCGAGUUGUAAUUUGAAGAAGGUAACUUUGGAGUUGGCUCUUGUCUAUGUUCCUUGGAACAGGACGUCACAGAGGGUGAGAAUCCCGUGCGAUGAGAUGCCCAACUCUAUGUAAAGUGCUUUCGAAGAGUCGAGUUGUUUGGGAAUGCAGCUCUAAGUGGGUGGUAAAUUCCAUCUAAAGCUAAAUAUUGGCGAGAGACCGAUAGCGAACAAGUACAGUGAUGGAAAGAUGAAAAGAACUUUGAAAAGAGAGUGAAAAAGUACGUGAAAUUGUUGAAAGGGAAGGGCUUGAGAUCAGACUUGGUAUUUUGCAAGCCUUACCUUCGUGGUGGGGUCCCCUGCAGUUUACUGGGCCAGCAUCGGUUUGGAUGGUAGGAUAAUGACUUGGGAAUGUGACUUUGCUUCGGUAAAGUGUUAUAGCCCUUGUUGAUACUGCCUGUCUAGACCGAGGACUGCGUCUUUGACUAGGAUGCUGGCAUAAUGAUCUUAAGUCGCCCGUCUUGAAACAACGGACCCA
RNAcentral lists this ribosomal RNA (580 nucleotides) under Schwanniomyces polymorphus. RNAcentral's name for it is "LSU rRNA". It matches the Rfam family "Eukaryotic large subunit ribosomal RNA", at positions 71 to 669 of the family's 3401-position model. Lineage: Eukaryota; Fungi; Ascomycota; Pichiomycetes; Serinales; Debaryomycetaceae. The record is from RNAcentral.